Quercus robur (English oak) is the source of this 566-nucleotide long non-coding RNA. RefSeq lists it as uncharacterized. The transcript has 2 exons. The record is from RefSeq and is a predicted model, not a curated record. Lineage: Eukaryota; Viridiplantae; Streptophyta; Magnoliopsida; Fagales; Fagaceae.
CCAGCACUUCACUACUUCAUUCAUCACUUUUCAUUUUCCUUCUCCCAAACCCACAGCACAGCAACAACUGAAGCUCAACUCUCCGCCGAUCAGCACCUUCAGUACAGCUCCGUGAACCGAUUUUGUUUCCGCGGGCUCACAAAUUUCUCUUCAGCAGACCCACAGCGCCGCGAUGGGUUUACUGUUGAACACAGGUCUGUGACUGUGAAGAAAAAGACCUUGAAGGAAUGUGUAUACAUGAAGAAGAAAGCUAAGCAAAACGCAACGUUUCAAUUAAUCUAGGUGGCAUCUAAACGCAACGUUUUACUUACUGAAGCUUAUUCUGUGGUUAAGUGAAACGGUGCGUUUGGACUGAUUUAAGAAUUGCUGAGCUGCUGGUUUAGGUGCAAGAUUUGGUUGGUGAUAAGCUUAACUACUUUUUAACUAACUUCCCCAAUCCUCCAGCAACUGUAAUCCGCAUAAUGUGGGGCGGUUAAGCUGUGUUAGGUGAAUAUAAAUCACUGUAGUUGGGUAAUUAUUCUUUAUGUAAUUCAGAAUUAUCAAUACAAGUUUCUAGAUUCAACUUU